RNAcentral lists this transfer RNA (62 nucleotides) under Haemaphysalis montgomeryi. Its description in RNAcentral is "tRNA-Leu". Lineage: Eukaryota; Metazoa; Arthropoda; Arachnida; Ixodida; Ixodidae. The record is from RNAcentral.
UUCAACUUGGCAGAUUAAGUGCAAUAAAUUUAGAAUUUAUUUAUGAAAUAAUUCAGUUGAAA